GAUGAAGAACGCAGCGAAAUGCGAUAAGUAAUGUGAAUUGCAGAAUUCAGUGAAUCAUCGAAUCUUUGAACGCACAUUGCGCCCGCCAGUAUUCUGGCGGGCAUGCCUGUUCGAGCGUCAUUUCAACCCUCAGGGCCCUUUUGGACCUGGCGUUGGGGCUCGGCCGCUACCCUGCGGCCGUCCCCGAAAGAUAGUGGCGGUCUCGCUGUAGCCUCCUCUGCGUAGUAGUUACAUCUCGCACUGGAACGCGGCGCGGCCAUGCCGUUAAACACCCCACUUCUCAAGGUUGACCUCGGAUCAGGUAGGAAUACCCGCUGAACUUAAGCAUAUCAAUAAGCGGAGGA
This 344-nucleotide unclassified non-coding RNA is filed under the name soil metagenome. RNAcentral's name for it is "partial contains 5.8S ribosomal RNA, internal transcribed spacer 2, and large subunit ribosomal RNA". The stretch from base 1 to 120 matches the Rfam family "5.8S ribosomal RNA", at positions 35 to 154 of the family's 154-position model. The record is from RNAcentral.